GGAGUGGUGGCCGAGUGGUCGAAGGCGCACGCCUGGAAAGUGUGUAGGGGCUAACCGCCUCUCGUGGGUUCGAAUCCCACCCGCUCCG
Zymomonas mobilis subsp. mobilis is the source of this 88-nucleotide transfer RNA. It matches the Rfam family "tRNA". From Rfam's summary of the family: Transfer RNA (tRNA) molecules are approximately 80 nucleotides in length. The record is from Rfam. NCBI's taxonomy places the organism in Bacteria, Pseudomonadati, Pseudomonadota, Alphaproteobacteria, Sphingomonadales, Zymomonadaceae.